GAACGGACAGGCUUCGGAGACGGACAAUGUGGCUGAGGGGGUGACUGGGUCGGUGUGUCUGGAGUUGUCACGGUAACAGGCUGGUGACUGACUGCAGACCUGGUUGGCCGCUCAGAGAGGAUAAGGAUGGAGAGGAGGACACUCAUCAUCUACUGCUUCAACUGGUAGGAUUGCAAGGAAGGAGAACGAGAAGGGAUAAAAAGUCAUUCUGAAAACUUACGUCACAUCAGUUUUCAGUUGAACAGAAAUAAGAAGUCUCGGAAAGAAAAUAAAUGCCAUUUGAUCUGAUCUCGU
Long non-coding RNA from Callorhinchus milii (elephant shark), 294 nucleotides. RefSeq lists it as uncharacterized. The transcript has 3 exons. Lineage: Eukaryota; Metazoa; Chordata; Chondrichthyes; Chimaeriformes; Callorhinchidae. The record is from RefSeq and is a predicted model, not a curated record.